UAAUCUAAAUGUAAUAUAUGGAAAUUUUAUGAACUGCUUUGAAAUCUCCUAAAAGUAAUUUUUUCAAAGAGUAGUUCAGACCAACCCAGACCUCUUGCUUCUUGACGGAGCAAGUAAGCUAGCUAGCUCUGGGUUAAUGUUCACACCAGGGUGAUAAGGCCUGAUGGGAGUUUGCUGUGGACGCUGAGCUGGGCCCAGGGACUUCACCACCAAAGGACAAGGUCGCUAUUGUGAAUCCUGCUUUACAGAGCAGGACAGAGGCCCAGAGAGCAAACCUGCCCAAGACCACACAGCUAGUAUGUGGCCGAACUGGGACUGGAGCCCAGAUCUUUGACACCAAAAUUAAUGUGUGUCCCUCUGUCUCGCGGCUUUUCAGAUGGAUCACACAGGAACGGGAUGAAAUAAUGUGAAAACCACUGCCAAUGUGAGCUGGAAAUCCACGGACACAGAAUGCCCACCCACUGGUCACUCCUCACCAGGUCCCACCCUACUUAUCUAAAACAGGAUGAUCUACAUCACCCUUGGGAAACAAGGGAUUACUCUGGCAAGGAACUUUUGCGGCAAGUCACAGAGAAUCAGCUAGUCCCAGUGUACCAUCUGACGUGCAGCUUGACACAGGGACGUGGCACUUACAUUGGCUGCCUCCCCUAUCAGACUGUGAAGUCUGUGACGGCAUCCCCAAGCCCACAGGAUCCAGAGCUUCCAGCAGAACAGAAGCCCCAUAUAUAUGAGUUGUUGCAAGUAGAAAUGAAAUAAACAUUUUUACAGUAAAGCCA
Non-coding RNA from Macaca mulatta (Rhesus monkey), 776 nucleotides. Lineage: Eukaryota; Metazoa; Chordata; Mammalia; Primates; Cercopithecidae. The record is from RefSeq and is a predicted model, not a curated record.